Molecule: ribosomal RNA, 433 nt
Filed under: uncultured bacterium
Lineage: Bacteria
Description: partial 16S ribosomal RNA
Rfam family: Bacterial small subunit ribosomal RNA
Source: RNAcentral
AACGAACGCUGGCGGCAUGCCUAACACAUGCAAGUCGAACGAGACCUUCGGGUCUAGUGGCGCACGGGUGCGUAACGCGUGGGAACCUGCCCUUAGGUUCGGAAUAACUCCCCGAAAGGGGUGCUAAUACCGGAUAAUGUCUUCGGACCAAAGAUUUAUCGCCUUUGGAUGGGCCCGCGUUGGAUUAGCUAGUUGGUAGUGUAAAAGCCUACCAAGGCGACGAUCCAUAGCUGGUCUGAGAGGAUGAUCAGCUACACUGGGACUGAGACACGGACCAGAAUGCGACGGAGGGGAGGAGAGGAGAAUAUAGGACGAGGGGCGAAGGUCUGAUCCAGCAAUGCCGGGUGAGUGAUGAAGGCCGUAGGGUUGUAAAGCUGUUUUAGACGGGAUGAUAAUGACAGUACCGGGUGAAUAAGCACCGGCUAACUCCGUG